RNAcentral lists this long non-coding RNA (2185 nucleotides) under Medicago truncatula (barrel medic). Its description in RNAcentral is "lncRNA gene25422". Lineage: Eukaryota; Viridiplantae; Streptophyta; Magnoliopsida; Fabales; Fabaceae. The record is from RNAcentral.
GGUUGAUGAAUGCUGCAUCAGAUACUCAUCCAAAAAAGAUGUGGAAAUCUUCUUGCUCCCGAUUGAAGAAGACCUUGUUGGCAUGUAAUAUGUAAUUAUCUCUCUAAAAAUGCUCUUUGAGCCUUGAAGCCUUUACCCCUUAGCUCUAGACCCCACUCCCCUAAACCUUUAUUUAUAAAGAAAAGAUACACAUAUAAAAGAGAAAUAACAAAACAGCUUAUUUUUUAUUAUCGUGACCUUAGCUACUCCAAUUAAUUUAUUUGUGUCCCUUGGACACAAGAGAAGGUAUACUUUGUUCAUUUCUGAAGAAGUUUAGAGGAUCAACUUUGGUCUUCACAUUUGCCAAUCUUCUGAAAUUGUUCUUGAAGUAUUUAACACCCCAGAUACUAGCUUGCUUGUAGCUUGUGUAUCCAUCAAUGUUAUUCACACCAAUAUCAAGGUCUCUAUAAUUGAUGUAUCCAGCUCUUGGAGACUUUGAAACAAAAGGUUCCAUGUAAUUAUAAAGUUUUCUAAUCCAAUUAAUGUGCAGUUUUUCCACCUCAUCACCUUCCUGUUGCCAAUCAACCUGGUAAUGAAUAUGAUAUAAAUUUCCUUUUCUAUGUGGAAAUGGAAUUUCAGACUCUGAAAUAGUAUCCAUUAUUCCACCAUAAGGAAACCAUAUCAUCAUUGCACCUUUGGCACCUUCUUCAUGAAACAAAGACCAUAUUCCUUCUAAUCCAUUUUCAGGAAUGGGAGUUUUCACAAAAUCAGAUUUUGCUUUGUAAAUAAAUCUUGGGCUGUUUGCAGCUAGUGUUCUGUUAAGCAACACUUCAGGUAAUGCACCUUUCGGAAAUUGAAAAAGGUAAAGAACCGAUUCAAUCCAACUCAUUUCAAUACAAUUUUCUCUGACCACACCCAACUCAGGAAACUUUUGAUCCAUCAAGGGAAUGAGUUUAUCUACACCUCCAAGAAACAAGGCUUGAAAUAUAGCUAGAAUUGUUGUCUCGCCUUUUUUACUUGAAUUUAUCCUUUGAAAGACAAUAUUGAUGGCUAUGUUUUCAUCAAUUUUACUUGCCAAAUACUGCCACUUGUGAACAAGCUUUGUUGCAUUUUGUUCCAAUGCUCUUGGAACUGUAAACACCGUCACUGUUGCUGGAACUUCAACAAGUUUUAUCUUCCAUGAAAUUAUGACUCCAAAACUUGCUCCUCCACCACCUCUAAUAGCCCAAAAAUAAUCUUCACCCAUUGCUUCUCUGUCAAGUAACCUACCUUUCACAUCAAUUAUGUGAGCAUCGAUUACAUUAUCCGCGGCUAAACCAUAUUUACGCAACAAGGUUCCAUAGCCGCCACCACUGAAAUGUCCACCAACACCUAUUGUAGGACAAGCACCAGCUGGGAAAGCAAGAUUUCGGCUUUUUUGGCUAAUUGUGUAGUAAAGUUCACCAAGUGUUGCACCAGACUGAACCCAAGCAGUUCUGCUUUCUACAUCUACAUCAAUUUCCUUGAAGUUUAUGAGAUCAAUGACAACAAAUGGAAUUUCUGAAACAUAGGAUAGGCCCUCAAAGUCAUGGCCCCCACUACGGGUUCGAAUCUGGAGGCCAUGAUUUUGGGAACAAAUUAUGGCUGUUUGAAUAUGGGAAGGUUCUAGAGGUGUGAUGAUGACAAGUGGUUUUGGUGUUUUGUAGGAUGCAAAUCUUAGAUUUUGAGUUGUAAAUUUGAGUACUGGUGAGUAAGAGGGAUUGGUUUUGGUGUACACAACUUUAGAGAUUGAAGUUGAGUUAUGUGAAUAACUAGAAAGACAUUGAAGGAAGUUAUCUUCAUAAGUAUUAGUAUCAAUUGCAGAAGAUGCAUAUGAAAAUAAAAUAGCAAUAAGUGCAACAGACAAAUAUGAGCUUAGAGGCAUCAUUUUGUUUUAGUAAUGUUGUGCAUAUGAUGCUUCAAAUUUAUAGGCGGGUUUCUACAUGCUCGAAGAUAAAUAUCCAUGUGGAUUAACAAUUAAACACUUAUUGCAUAAUUGUGCUUUAUCUAAUUGUUUAAAAAAAACUAUUUUUUGUAACAAAACUAUAAAAACAAUUUGUUUCUCAUAUAAGUUAGCAAAUGUGCACUUAUUUGAUUCCACAAGUUUUGCAUAAGGUUGUUGUUCUUAUUCUCAACAUAUUGUGUUUUAUUUAUAAAAGGUAAUUAUCAUUUUGUAUGUAAGGAGUAG